GAUAUCAAGAAGAACACCGGUGCUGAAGGCGGCUCUUGUGAAUGUUACUGACACUGAGGCACGAAAGCUGGGGGAGCAAACAGGAUUAGAUACCCUGGUAGUCCCAGCCGUAAACGGUGUGCACUUGGUGUUGNCGGUAUUGACCCCGCCAGUGCCGGAGCUAACGCGUUAAGUGCACCGCCUGGGGAGUACGGCCGCAAGGUUAAAACUCAAAGAAAUUGACGGGGGCCCGCACAAGCGGAGGAGCAUGUGGCUUAAUUCGAUGCAACGCGAAGAACCUUACCUGGGUUUGACAUCGGAGAGGCUUGCCUCUAGCGCGUGAAAGCGCGUUAACCUGACAGGUGCUGCAUGGCUGUCGUCAGUUCGUGCCGUGAGGUGUUGGGUUAAGUCCCGCAACGAACGCAACCCUUGUGUUUAGUUGCCACCCCCGAGCAAUCGGGGCGCACUCUAAACAGACUGCCCGUACAAGCGGGAGGAAGGUGGGGAUGACGUCAAGUCCGUAUGGCCCUUACACCCAGGGCUGCACACGUGCUACAAUGGCCGGUACAGAGGGCUGCGAGACCGCGAGGUUCAGCAAAUCCCUAAAAGCUGGCCCCAGUUCGGAUUGCGGUCUGCAACUCGACUGCAUGAAGUGGAUUCGCUAGUAAACGGGCGUAUCAGCUACGACGCCGUGAUACGUUCCCGGGCAUGGACACACCGCCCCGUCACAUCAUGGGAGUCGUCUGCACCCG
This 731-nucleotide ribosomal RNA is filed under the name uncultured organism. Its description in RNAcentral is "bacterial SSU rRNA". It matches the Rfam family "Bacterial small subunit ribosomal RNA", at positions 693 to 1423 of the family's 1533-position model. The record is from RNAcentral.